Athene cunicularia (burrowing owl) is the source of this 2636-nucleotide RNA transcript. It is a transcript of the gene named WT1 associated protein, with no coding region annotated. NCBI's taxonomy places the organism in Eukaryota, Metazoa, Chordata, Aves, Strigiformes, Strigidae. The transcript is spliced from 7 exons. The record is from RefSeq and is a predicted model, not a curated record.
UCACAAUGACGAAUGAAGAACCUCUCCCAAAGAAGGUUCGCCUUAGUGAAGCAGAUUUUAAGGUUUUACCUAGAGAUGAGCUCAUCCUAAGGUGGAAACAGUAUGAAGCAUAUGUGCAAGCUCUGGAGGGCAAGUACACAGACCUUAAUUCUAAUGAUGUGACGGGAUUGAGAGAAUCCGAAGAGAAGUUGAAACAGCAACAGCAAGAGUCUGCCCGAAGAGAAAAUAUUCUGGUGAUGAGGCUGGCAACUAAGGAACAGGAGAUGCAAGAGUGUACUAAUCAGAUUCAGUACCUCAAGCAAGUCCAGCAGCCUAGUGUUGCCCAACUGCGAUCAACAAUGGUGGACCCAGCCAUCAACUUGUUUUUCCUAAAAAUGAAAGGUGAACUGGAACAGACUAAAGACAAACUGGAACAAGCCCAAAAUGAACUGAGUGCCUGGAAAUUUACGCCUGAUAGAGGCCUGACGGCGUCGGACUAUUCUGAAGAAAUGGCCAUCUUCGAAAAAAAAUCUUUUCUAGAACAUGUAGACAUUUGCAAAAUUGUUCUAUUUGAAGAAAAUAGAGGGAGAAACAGAAGUCUUAAGUCUGUGGCACACUGUGUCUACAGACAGUUUGGAGGAGAGAGAACCUAGAGAUUAUAAAUCAUGAAUUGAACAUGUAAAAUUCCCGUAAAAUGUAGAAGUGGAAUAUGCUUCACUCUUAACCUUGAGCCUAGUGACUUAGAGACACUGUAAGUCAGUUUUGCCAAUAAGACUGUGGACUUCCUGCUUGUUCACUGAACUGCUGGGUCAAAACUCAAUGAGGUGAAUUUUGCGUUAAAGAGUUUACUUGCUAACCAGUUUUGAAUAGCCACGAGAGGUGCUAUUUGAUAUCACAACAGUGGUAGUGUACACAUUUGACUGUUUAGCCUUUGGGCUCUCUAGCACUUGACGGAGCCUUAAAUCACUGUUGCUAAAUAAUGAACUGUUUUCUGGAUGGUUGGUGAUACCGUGGACGCCUCAAAAUUAGGACUGUACAAAAAUGAGUUAACAUGAAGAAAUUAAUGGGAUUCUAAAAUUGUCCCAAUUCCAAGGUGACUGGUACUUUCUAAUUCUACAGUUGAUGUUGUUUUGUGAAGAGAAAAGCAUUAAAUGACUUAAGCACCGUGAACUUCUUCAACUUUUAGUGAUGAUGAAUACAGUAAAAGGAAUUUGCAAAUGGCUAAAAAUCACUGCAUGUCUGCCUAAUAACUUUUGGGAUAUGUUACAUUGGUUAUCUCCAAAGCGGUCCUGCUUUACACAGAAUGAACAUCUCUAAGGAAACUUGCAUCUUAAGUGUGCGACUUGGACUGUAUUAGGUCAGCACAAUUUAAACUUCAAGGACCUGCCAUUGGACAUCACAUCAAGAAAGAAAACAGGUUGCUGCCUUUAGCAGAGUUGCAGGCUUCCAGGACUUUACACAGCCAGAUUCCUUCUGGAGCAGCCCAUCUGAAAGAUUUGGGAGAGUCAGUCGGAAAAUGUUAAAUGGGGCAGAGUUGCCAGAACUUAAAAGUUGUCUAAGGCUUGAAUGCUUAAAAGGUAGUUGAUAAGGAAAUUACUAUUUUAAAUUCUUUUGGUUGGGUAUUUUGGUUGCAGGAGAGAACCGUGGCUGUGAAUUGUAGCAGAAAUUUCCUGUUCUACUUUUUUAAUCCUCAAAAUUUCUUUCAAUCUUUGUCAGUUGUUUAAAAGCAAACAAAAAAUUAAAUGACCUGCUUGGUCUUGAAAAGUAGUGCAAGUCCUGCCAUGGAAUUCACAAUAAACCUUUUCAAGUUUGGGUGGUUUUUUUUUUUGGUAGAGCUUACACUGCUGUAGACAGCUUUAUUAUGUUGCUGAGCCUAUUAAAAGGAGACAACUGUUUGUGGUUGCUAUCCUGACUUUGGCAGACCAAGACACUUAAAGGACUUGAAUUUUUCUCUUAUGGAGUCAGCUGUAUUGCCUAUAUAUUAAUUUGCAUAGUACUUCCUAUAAUGCUUUACAAUGCAAUUUUUAUCGCGAAGAUUAAAGAUGUGUGAUGUUUUCCAUUUAGUAAAGAAAAUCUUGUCAGUGCGAAAUUUUUUUCCUGCCUGUUUCCAAAUUUUUUCAGAAACUGGAGAUCUUAAUGAUCAUUACUCAUGAUUGGAAAUCUCUCAUUCUAAAGGAAGUAGAUUAAUAACAUGCUCUUUAAUUUCCUUCCAAUUUUUAAUGACAUUUUACUUUUUCCUGACUAUGCAAGAUGCACUUAGGAAAAGCUGACCAUAGAAAUCAUGAAACAGACUGUGUACAUUACUGUCAAAUAUAUAAAUUGAGUUGAAAAAUAGACAUGUAAGUUUUUAAACAAGAGUACCUGGACAGCAUUCAAAAGAAUGUCUGAACCUCUUAAAGAAGAAUGGGUGUCAUUAGGAAGAAUGAACAUGGGAUUUAAUACUUCAUCCCAAGCAACUUUCUUCCCUUCACCAAAAUUUAAUUAUUAAAUUUUACUAGUGCAAUAAAUGUUUUUUGUUUAUAAUUCUGUUUAUACAUGUAAUUUUCAUGCAGUACUUGAUCUUUUGACUUAUAAGGCACAUCUUUAAUCAAAUACUUAUCUCUUUUGAGAAUUAGCACAUGCAAGACUGUGCAUACUGAUAAUCCAGAUGUUGGUAU